Molecule: ribosomal RNA, 612 nt
Filed under: Gautieria sp. OSC48137
Lineage: Eukaryota; Fungi; Basidiomycota; Agaricomycetes; Gomphales; Gomphaceae
Description: eukaryotic LSU rRNA
Rfam family: Eukaryotic large subunit ribosomal RNA
Source: RNAcentral
CUAACAAGGAUUCCCCUAGUAACGGCGAGUGAAGCGGGAUGAGCUCAAAUUUGUAAUCUGGCGGUCUCUGGCCGCCCGAGUUGUAGUCUGGAGAAGCGUUUUCCGCGUCGGACCGUGUACAAGUCCCUUGGAACAGGGCGUCGUAGAGGGUGAGAAUCCCGUCUUUGACACGGACUGCCGAUGCUUUGCGAUGCGCUCUCGAAGAGUCGAGUUGUUUGGGAAUGCAGCUCAAAACGGGUGGUAAAUUCCAUCUAAAGCUAAAUAUGGGCGAAAGACCGAUAGCGAACAAGUACCGUGAGGGAAAGAUGAAAAGCACUUUGGAAAGAGAGUUAAACAGUACGUGAAAUUGUUGAAAGGGAAACGCUUGAAGUCAGUCGCGUCUCCUGGGACUCAGCCUUGCUUCUGCUUGGUGUAUUUCCUGGGGCGACGGGCCAGCAUCGAUUUCGACCGUCGGAGAAGGGCCUUGGGAACGUGGCACCCUUUGGGUGUGUUAUAGCCCUCGGUCGUAUGCGACGGUCGGGAUCGAGGACCGCAGCACGCCUUUCUGGCCGGGGUUCGCCCACGUACGUGCUUAGGAUGCUGGCGUAAUGGCUUUAAGCGACCCGUCUUGAA